GAGGUGGGAGGAUUGCUUGAGCCUGGGAGGUUGAGGCUGCAGUAAGCUGUGAUUGCACCACUGCACUCCAGCCUGAGUGACAGAGCAGGACCCUGUCUC
Saimiri boliviensis boliviensis (Bolivian squirrel monkey) is the source of this 99-nucleotide microRNA precursor. NCBI's taxonomy places the organism in Eukaryota, Metazoa, Chordata, Mammalia, Primates, Cebidae. The record is from Ensembl.